ACUAGCCUCCAGAUUCGAGAUUUGCUCUGAAACAAGUACACGUUCUGAUCUCAACUUAUGCGCGUUCUCACUGAGAGAAUCGAUAAGAGCUAGCGUAGAACUCAAUUCUUUCUCCUUAUCUUGUAACUACAAUGAACAAUCAUGCAGUCUUUUUUCUUCGUCCUCCAACGCACUCAACUCUUUGAAGAGCUCGGCUCUUUCCUAAUUCGUCAUCUCUCUCCUAAAUUCCGAAAUUGAAAUGGCCCUUCCCACCGCCAAAUUGAGUCUUUUAUAGCGGGUUUUUCACUGGUGAAAUUUCACUCUAACCCCUGUGGUUAAGUUCGAUUACACAUAACCCAUUAUAGUUAAAAUAACUCGCUCCCCUCCAUCAUCAUAACCACUCCCUUUUUGCCUUAUCCAACACUAAUUGCCCAACAUAACCCCGAAAACCAUCAGCAUCACCAUCAAACAAUACACAACUUAAUUGGCUUCAUCUAUGACUGUAAAAUUGCCCUGAAUUAUCAAAUGAGUCAUAUGGCACACCCGUUACAAUUUGCAUGCGAAAGAUGAUGCCCUUAUCGUUCAUGCUUAAGUCCUUCAGCGUCUUCACCAUUAGGACUAGUCUGGCAGGUGAAGCGAGUUCCCUGUCUAUCUUGCGAAUUUUGAGCACCUUCACAAAAACACUAGCCUCCAAAUUCGAGAUUUGCUCUAAAACAAGUACACGUUUUGAUCUCGACUUAUGCACGUUCUCACUGAGAGAACCGAUAAGAGCUAGCGUAGAACUCAGUUCUUUCUCCUUAUCUUGUAACUGCCAAGGUUCUAAAAAUCGCUAGGCGGCAAUCGGGCGGCCGGGGGGCCUAGCGCCUAGGCGGUUUUUUAUUAUUAUUUAUUUAUUAAUUUUAUUUAUUUAAAUCAUUUAUAUUUUUUAAAAAUAAUAAUAAAUGACCAAAUAUCAAAUUCUACCCAAAAAUGCUAUUAUCAAAAAUAGUAAAGUUACAAAUGUUUAAUGUGAAUAUACAAAGAGAAGAUAGAAAUGCAAUUUAGGUCUAUUCUAAAAUACAUUAGAUAUUAAAAACUAGAUCUUAAAAAGCGUUAGGCGUUUAAGGGGCAGGCGGAGGGUCCAGCGCCUAGGCGGGUCCAUAGAAGCCGGGAGGGCCUAGCCGCCUAGGCGGGGCCUAGGGGCUAGGAGUGAGGAUUUUUAGAAGAGAGGUAACUGCAAUGAACAAUCAUGCAAUCUUUUUUCUUCGUCCUCCAACGCACUCAACUCUAUGAAAAAUCAUGCGGAAUUGGUCUCGGUUCUUUCGGCUUCUCCACUCUGCCUUUUCGUUACAGCAAUCCUUGUGCAACAUAUCUCAAUCAUCCAUUAUUCCUAAAUUGGUAACAAUCAUCUCUCAAUCAUCCAUUAUUCCUAAAUUGGUAACAAGCAAGUUGCUUCAAGGCGAGUGUAAUUAGAUCUUGGUCUAUUGUACACUUCCAGCAACUAUUAGUUAUCGUACGCCGUCCUGCUGAUGUAGAUUCACAUAAAAGAGAAAGGGCUGAUAUUAGUUAUCAGCUUUUUCGGUGAUUUUAGAGUCAUCUAAUUCCGGUAUAUUCUAGUGUGUCAUUCCCAAAAUUAAUUUUUAAUUUUUCAUGCACACAUAAAUCUUGAACGUUGUUGAAUCUGUCAUCGAAGCCUUUCGAUAAGCUCCAUCCGAAGUGUUGAUAACAAAAUCCAGCGAGGGUUCAUCUAGCAUUUUGUAUAGUUAUAUAUUGUCAAUUCAUAAUCUUUUCUCAACUGUGCGUGGAAUGGUUCUGUUAACAUGUAAGUGCUCAAUUUAAGGUUUAUUGCUUGGACUCAAACAUGGAGCUUUUAACAUGCGUGUCGAGUAUAUGAUCUAAGAUUUUCUCAAGAAUAACAUUUUAUAUCUGCAAGUAAUGGAAAUUUAGUGUGGAGAUAUAACAGAACAAUCAAUAGUUAUCCCCUCUCUAAACUGAAUUCAGAUACAAUAGUGCAAUCAUUAUUUUAAGAAAAAUCUUUAAAAAGUGAACUUGUUAAAACUGACUUAAAAUGCACAACUCAUAAACCUGAGACUCUGUUAACAUCAUCAUUCUGUAAAAAGAUUUUUAAAAGUGUUUUGAUUUAAAGUCGGUGGAAUGGUUCCAGAACUCCAACUUGUACAACGAAAAAUAGAAGUCGGUCCUCCCAUUUUAUGAGGCAGAAUUGGUCUUGGUUCUUUCGGCUUCUCCCCUUUGCCUUUUUGUUUCAGCAAUCCUUCUGCAUCAUCUCUCAAUCAUCCAUUAUUCCUAAUUUGGUAACAAGCAAGAUGCUUCAAGGUGAGCGUAAUUAGAUCUUGGUCUAUUGCAACAAGCAAGAUGAUUCACAUAAAAGGGAAAUGGUUGAUAUUAGUUAUCAGCUUUUUCGGUGAUUUUAGAGUUGUCAAAAUUGACAUAUAUCUUGGAAAGUUGAAAUCAAUGCCAUUGAUGGUAAAGAAAUGCUUACCAGAGGCUCGAGGAGUUAGUAU
RNAcentral lists this long non-coding RNA (2480 nucleotides) under Actinidia chinensis (golden kiwifruit). Its description in RNAcentral is "long non-coding RNA (ACHI_LNC000302)". Lineage: Eukaryota; Viridiplantae; Streptophyta; Magnoliopsida; Ericales; Actinidiaceae. The record is from RNAcentral.